CGCUGUCGCUUGCCGCAAAACAGAAACUGGGACGUUCUUUUUCUUGUUCUUGAUCCCGGGGACAGAGGUCGAGAUUGCCAGUGCUGGGAGUGUCUAUGGAGGUCUUUCUGACCAGAGGAUGGCGGCGAUGGUGGGCCAACAAGCGCAUGUGACGCCGGAUAGUUGCUCCCUGACACAGGAUCUCAAUCGGGAUCUCUUUCGCUUCCACCAUCACCAUGCGUGUGUCAGUACAGCGCGUUACUCCUAAGCAACCCCGCAGAUUACGUGCCAAAGUACCACGAAGUUUGGAGACCGAGGUCCGGGACAUGCCACGGAGAACAGCUUCCUUCAUCAGGCCGUCAAGGAGGAGGACAGAGUUCAAGUAGAGUCUUUAACUACCGACUCCUUCUACGCUGCAAUGAAUUUUAUCUUAGGGCACUCCCUUCUGACCUGUCCAGACUGAGCUUCAACGGGCUACCUGCACGUUGUAUCCAGAUGCCUGCUAAUUUCAAGCAUCCCACCUUUGCAUGACUUUUUGAGGUAAUGGACACCAGGGGCAAUCUUUCUUCUGAAGCAAUAAAGAGGUCUCCUAAAUUUUGGAGUUUCCCUG
Long non-coding RNA from Ornithodoros turicata, 589 nucleotides. RefSeq lists it as uncharacterized. NCBI's taxonomy places the organism in Eukaryota, Metazoa, Arthropoda, Arachnida, Ixodida, Argasidae. The record is from RefSeq and is a predicted model, not a curated record. The transcript is spliced from 4 exons.